UACGUAGGGUGCGAGCGUUAAUCGGGAUUACUGGGCGUAAAGCGUGCGCAGGCGGCUUUGCAAGACAGAUGUGAAAUCCCCGGGCUCAACCUGGGAACUGCAUUUGUGACUGCAAGGCUAGAGUACGGCAGAGGGGGAUGGAAUUCCGCGUGUAGCAGUGAAAUGCGUAGAUAUGCGGAGGAACACCAAUGGCGAAGGCAAUCCCCUGGGCCUGUACUGACGCUCAUGCACGAAAGCGUGGGGAGCAAACAGG
RNAcentral lists this ribosomal RNA (253 nucleotides) under uncultured bacterium. RNAcentral's name for it is "partial 16S ribosomal RNA". It matches the Rfam family "Bacterial small subunit ribosomal RNA", at positions 524 to 776 of the family's 1533-position model. The record is from RNAcentral.